UACAUUUUGUAUUAUAUAAUCUAUUGUUGUUGUGUAAAUAACUAUUAUUGAAUUAAACAAUCUGUUGUUGUUUAUACAAUAAUUUUUAUUUAGCUUUUUUUUUUACUUAUUAUAUUAAUGAUAGUGUUGAGUUGAUUUAUAUAUGCAGAUAAAAUAAAAAUAUGACAUUUUCAAGCCGUUUAUAAUAGAAGGCCUAGAAAAAAGGCCAAGACAAUAGAAGAGGAGCUUUCUAUGGCUAGAGGAAAAAAUGAGAAUGAUGAUAGAGAAGACAAUGAAAAAUACCGUGAAGAAGAAGAAGAAAUUGAAGAAAAAGGUGAAGAUGAAAAUGAUAGUGAAAAAGGUGAAGAUGAUAAUGAUAGUGAAGAAGAAGGUGAAGAUGAAAAUACUAGUGAAGAAGAAAGAGAAGAGGAAAGUGAAGAAAAAAAUGAAGAAGCAUGUGAUAAUGUACUAUCCCUAAAGAAAGUGAAAAAGCAAUUGAAGAAGAAGAUGAAAAAAUAAGUAAUGUGUCAUCCAAAAGAAGAUCAAAAUUGUUACAUGAUUGUUUCUAAAGUAAUAAAAUGAAUAUUUAUUUGUUUAAACAACCUGAUGGAGUUUGCACUAAAAUAUAAUACAGUAAGUUUGAUUGUUUCUAAAGUAAUUAAAAAAUAUCUGAUUGUUUAAACAACCUGAUGGAGUUUGCACUAAAAUAUAAUAAAGUAGUACACCUUAUUCUGAUUCCUACAAGUGCUGGAAAAAAAAUUACAUGAAAAUCUUGAAAGCUUUGUUGAUGAGAUAGCAGAUGAAACAAAUGACAAAUUAAAAGUUGAUUUAGUUGGGGUGACAGCUAUAACAAAUGAUGUAGGAUAUAAAGAUGUUGAUGGUGAAGAUAGGGUGAUUACAAAGAUUAGAUAUAAUGAGAAAAGUCCAUCAAGAGGUGAGAAUGCAGAAAGAAACACUUCAAGAGUGAACAAAGUAGCUUAUGGAGUCCUUUAAAAAAUUAUGAUAAUCGAACGGCUGAUAAUCCUAUGGACUUUGAUUUUGAUGGUCAAUAUACUGAUGGAGGUGUUGGCUAUAGUAUAGGCAAUUAGAAUUUUUUUGAUUAUCAACAAUAAGUGUUGGUUUAUAUGAUAAUAUAAUAUAUUUGUUUAUUAACUUUUA
This is a long non-coding RNA of Solanum dulcamara, 1137 nucleotides long. RefSeq lists it as uncharacterized. The transcript has 2 exons. NCBI's taxonomy places the organism in Eukaryota, Viridiplantae, Streptophyta, Magnoliopsida, Solanales, Solanaceae. The record is from RefSeq and is a predicted model, not a curated record.